This 404-nucleotide ribosomal RNA is filed under the name uncultured bacterium. RNAcentral's name for it is "bacterial SSU rRNA". It matches the Rfam family "Bacterial small subunit ribosomal RNA", at positions 350 to 751 of the family's 1533-position model. The record is from RNAcentral.
AGCAGUAGGGAAUAUUGGGCAAUGGGCGAGAGCCUGACCCAGCCAUGCCGCGUGCAGGAAGAAGGCUUUCUGAGUCGUAAACUGCUUUUGACAGGGAAGAAUAAGGACUACGUGUAGUCUGAUGACGGUACCUGCAGAAUAAGCACCGGCUAACUCCGUGCCAGCAGCCGCGGUAAUACGGAGGGUGCGAGCGUUGUCCGGAUUUAUUGGGUUUAAAGGGUGCGUAGGCGGCCGUUUAAGUCCGGGGUGAAAGCCCGCUGCUCAACAGCGGAACUGCCCUGGAUACUGGACGGCUUGAGUACAGACGAGGUUGGCGGAAUGGACUGAGUAGCGGUGAAAUGCAUAGAUACAGUCCAGAACCCCGAUUGCGAAGGCAGCUGACUAGGCUGUUACUGACGCUGAGG